CUGGGAUCGGAAUUACAAACCCGGACGGAACUUAAGGUCCACUACCUACUGUGAAGAGCAAGGUGGUUGUGCUCUUCCCUCUUGACCCACCCUCCAUGUAGAAUAACAUAAGAAUAUGCCAUUAUGGUUCUACCCAAAACCUUCUGCUCCUGCCUAUGUGCCUUAGGAACCCCUCCCAAAAAUCAGAUUAGAAAUUCAUGUUAAAUCGUUAUAAUUUUACUUUGAC
This 226-nucleotide long non-coding RNA is filed under the name Drosophila guanche. The record is from RNAcentral. Lineage: Eukaryota; Metazoa; Arthropoda; Insecta; Diptera; Drosophilidae.